AUGCAGGACAGGAAUCCAACGAGGUGUUCCGUCCACUUCUACUGUUGCGUAUCCACGUCCCCACGUAAUGAGCUGGGCGGGACCGUGCCACUGAGGGUCCGGCAGGAUACGGUAACGACCCCACGGGACGGUGAGCCAUCGGUGAAAUCGGACGAUCUGCAAAAAAGGAACUAAGAAUAUAAGAGACAUACAAGAGAAAGGUAAGCCGUCUAUCCUUAGGAGGAUUGGCAAGUACAGCACCAGAGAAGCCCGUGAAAGCCACCUGAAAAGGAACAGAGGUUUGUAGGAGUCUUUCUACUUCUCCCGGAGACAAAGGUAAGUAAAGUGACACAGGGUCUGUCCUGGUAAGUUGAAGAACACGGGAGCGGGCCUUGGCAAAUAAGUCUGCAGUAGCUUCAAUCAAGCUGUAGAUCUUCGGUGGAGUGUGUGGAAGAUGAAGCCAUUCUACUAUAUAGACUUGAUUCGGACCGGGAGAGUAAAUAAUUCCUGUUGGUAAUGCCGUAGGAGAUGAAGGCAGAAAAAUAGCAGAGGCAACCGGAGAGGUAUCAUAAGGAAUCCUAUCCACGGAACGGUCUCGUAGUGCCUGGGAGAUCAGGCGAAAAACACGCUGCAUAUCUGAAGUUACCGGGAUGAUGUCAGCCGGAGAAGUGUGUCCUGCUAACGCAGCAAACAAGGGUGACAGAUCUUGUGUUCGAAGUUUAAAAUAUGGUCGUAUCCAGUUAAUAUUUCCUACUAAACUUUGCAGUUCUACAAGAGUGUAAGUAGUUUUAAACUUUAAAUCAGGUAAGACGGGAAGUGAGGCUGACUCUGAAAGUUUGUGUCCCAGAUAGGUGUAGGGAGGUGAUGAUUGUACCUUCUCAGGAGCUACAACAAGUCCGUAUUCAGUUAAAGCUUUUACUAAGAAGGUAGUAUGAUGAGCAGUUAUUUCUUUACCAGCAAUAAGAAUAUCGUCCAUAUAAUGGUAAACUCUUAGCUGCGGAAAAGCAUUCCUAAACGAUUGCAACAUGGUGUGAACAAAUAUUGACACAGAGUUGGCAGAUUUUCCAUCCCUUGUGGCAGCAAUGGAACAAGCAAUAGGAGAAGGUUGAAACAGCUUAGGAAGUGGCUUUUCAUGAAAUAGCUUGUCAUGUUCAUCCCCGGGGAACAAAUUAAGGUCAUCCCAGUCGUUAUUAGC
This 1174-nucleotide long non-coding RNA is filed under the name Pogona vitticeps (central bearded dragon). Its description in RNAcentral is "lncRNA (ENSPVIG00000002711.1)". The record is from RNAcentral. Lineage: Eukaryota; Metazoa; Chordata; Lepidosauria; Squamata; Agamidae.